GACAGAGGGUGCAAGCGUUGUUCGGAAUUAUUGGGCGUAAAGCGCGCGUAGGCGGCUUGGUAAGUCGAAUGUGAAAGCCCGUGGCUCAACCACGGAAGUGCAUUCGAAACUGCUUAGCUUGAGUUUCGGAGAGGGCGGUGGAAUUCCCAGUGUAGAGGUGAAAUUCGUAGAUAUUGGGAGGAACACCAGUGGCGAAGGCGACCGCCUGGACGAUGACUGACGCUGAGGCGCGAGAGCGUGGGGAGCAAACAGG
This 253-nucleotide ribosomal RNA is filed under the name uncultured bacterium. RNAcentral's name for it is "partial 16S ribosomal RNA". It matches the Rfam family "Bacterial small subunit ribosomal RNA", at positions 524 to 776 of the family's 1533-position model. The record is from RNAcentral.